GAUAGCUCAACGGUAGAGCAUCCGGCUGUUAACCGGAGGGUUGCUGGUUCGAAUCCAGCUC
RNAcentral lists this transfer RNA (61 nucleotides) under marine eukaryotic metagenome. It matches the Rfam family "tRNA", at positions 6 to 65 of the family's 71-position model. Rfam says of the family: Transfer RNA (tRNA) molecules are approximately 80 nucleotides in length. The record is from RNAcentral.